AAACAUCAUCUAAAAUAUCUAAAGCUGAGUAAAUGGAGACAACUUAAAAUAGUUCAUCAUACUAUGAUUCAUAACGUUUCAAACUCAUUUCAACUAAACAGAAGAAAUUCAUUUAACUCAAAUAAUCAACAUGGCUUAUGAAUUUCUUAAAAAUUUGGCUCAUGCCAAAACUUAUUCUCGGGGAUACCUUGGCCGGGGCAUCCAACCGAGUCCGCCAAGGCUAUUAAAGAAAAGUUCAUAUACGCAUAAAACACAUUUUUAUGUUUAAAAGCAUAACCGUUCCUUGGCGUUGGCUGAGUUCACCCUCACGUAGUGGUUUAGCGUGUAGUGAACUUUAAAACUUU
RNAcentral lists this long non-coding RNA (344 nucleotides) under Theobroma cacao (cacao). RNAcentral describes it as "long non-coding RNA (TCAC_LNC005238)". The record is from RNAcentral. Lineage: Eukaryota; Viridiplantae; Streptophyta; Magnoliopsida; Malvales; Malvaceae.